RNAcentral lists this small nucleolar RNA (87 nucleotides) under Zostera marina. RNAcentral describes it as "Small nucleolar RNA snoR26". It matches the Rfam family "Small nucleolar RNA snoR26". Lineage: Eukaryota; Viridiplantae; Streptophyta; Magnoliopsida; Alismatales; Zosteraceae. The record is from Rfam by way of RNAcentral.
UCGGCAUCUGUGAUGCUAUCCUAGUUAUCAUCCUUGCACUUUGACUGUGAAUGAAGAAAAUCACGGGGAAGAAAAACUGAGAUGCCU